Molecule: ribosomal RNA, 253 nt
Filed under: uncultured bacterium
Lineage: Bacteria
Description: partial 16S ribosomal RNA
Rfam family: Bacterial small subunit ribosomal RNA
Source: RNAcentral
UACAGAGGGUGCGAGCGUUAAUCGGAGUGACUGGGCGUAAAGGGCGCGUAGGCGGUUAUUUAAGCUAGAUGUGAAAUCCCCGGGCUUAACCUGGGAAGAGCAUCUAGGACUGAGUAGCUAGAGUACAGUAGAGGGCAGUGGAAUUUCCGGUGUAGCGGUGAAAUGCGUAGAGAUCGGAAGGAACACCAGUGGCGAAGGCGACUGCCUGGACUGAAACUGACGCUGAGGCGCGAGAGCGUGGGUAGCAAACAGG